This 253-nucleotide ribosomal RNA is filed under the name uncultured bacterium. Its description in RNAcentral is "partial 16S ribosomal RNA". It matches the Rfam family "Bacterial small subunit ribosomal RNA", at positions 524 to 776 of the family's 1533-position model. The record is from RNAcentral.
UACGUAGGGUGCAAGCGUUGUCCGGAAUUAUUGGGCGUAAAGGGCUCGUAGGCGGUUCGUCACGUCGGGAGUGAAAACUCGGAGCUCAACUCCGAGCCUGCUUCCGAUACGGGCAGACUAGAGGUAGGCAGGGGAGACUGGAAUUCCUGGUGUAGCGGUGGAAUGCGCAGAUAUCAGGAGGAACACCGAUGGCGAAGGCAGGUCUCUGGGCCGCAACUGACGCUGAGGAGCGAAAGCAUGGGGAGCGAACAGG